Molecule: transfer RNA, 64 nt
Filed under: Nothybus sumatranus
Lineage: Eukaryota; Metazoa; Arthropoda; Insecta; Diptera; Nothybidae
Also listed under: 1 other name
Description: tRNA-Gly
Source: RNAcentral
AUCUAUAUAAUAUAAACAGUAUAUUUGACUUCCAAUCAUAAAGUCUAUUUCAAUAGUAUAGAUA